This 177-nucleotide ribosomal RNA is filed under the name Escherichia coli. RNAcentral's name for it is "partial 16S ribosomal RNA". It matches the Rfam family "Bacterial small subunit ribosomal RNA", at positions 1 to 171 of the family's 1533-position model. RNAcentral also lists the same sequence under 1 other name. The record is from RNAcentral. Lineage: Bacteria; Pseudomonadati; Pseudomonadota; Gammaproteobacteria; Enterobacterales; Enterobacteriaceae.
AAAUUGAAGAGUUUGAUCAUGGCUCAGAUUGAACGCUGGCGGCAGGCCUAACACAUGCAAGUCGAACGGUAACAGGAAGCAGCUUGCUGUUUCGCUGACGAGUGGCGGACGGGUGAGUAAUGUCUGGGAAACUGCCUGAUGGAGGGGGAUAACUACUGGAAACGGUAGCUAAUACCG